GACGAGGGAUCCUAGCGUUGCUCGGAAUCAUUGGGCGUAAAGCGGGUGUAGGUGGCUUGACAAGUCAGGUGUGAAAGCCCAGGGCUCAACCCUGGAAGUGCAUUUGAAACUGUUAAGCUUGAGUGCUAGAGAGGUUAAUAGAAUACCUGGUGUAGUGGUGAAAUACGUAGAUAUCAGGUGGAACACCGGAGGCGAAGGCGGUUAACUGGCUAGACACUGACACUGAGACCCGAAAGUGCGGGGAUCAAAC
Molecule: ribosomal RNA, 250 nt
Filed under: uncultured bacterium
Lineage: Bacteria
Description: partial 16S ribosomal RNA
Rfam family: Bacterial small subunit ribosomal RNA
Source: RNAcentral